This 484-nucleotide ribosomal RNA is filed under the name uncultured bacterium. RNAcentral describes it as "partial 16S ribosomal RNA". It matches the Rfam family "Bacterial small subunit ribosomal RNA", at positions 30 to 507 of the family's 1533-position model. The record is from RNAcentral.
AUUGAACGCUGGCGGCAGGCCUAACACAUGCAAGUCGAGCGGAUGAAGGGAGCUUGCUCCUGGAUUCAGCGGCGGACGGGUGAGUAAUGCCUAGGAAUCUGCCUGGUAGUGGGGGAUAACGUCCGGAAACGGGCGCUAAUACCGCAUACGUCCUGAGGGAGAAAGUGGGGGAUCUUCGGACCUCACGCUAUCAGAUGAGCCUAGGUCGGAUUACCUAGUUGGUGGGGUAAAGGCCUACCAAGGCGACGAUCCGUAACUGGUCUGAGAGGAUGAUCAGUCACACUGGAACUGAGACACGGUCCAGACUCCUACGGGAGGCAGCAGUGGGGAAUAUUGGACAAUGGGCGAAAGCCUGAUCCAGCCAUGCCGCGUGUGUGAAGAAGGUCUUCGGAUUGUAAAGCACUUUAAGUUGGGAGGAAGGGCAGUAAGUUAAUACCUUGCUGUCUUGACGUUACCAACAGAAUAAGCACCGGCUAACUUCGUG